GCAAGUCGAGCGGAAACGAAGGGUAGUUUACUACUUUGGCGUCGAGCGGCGGACGGGUGAGUAAUGCUUGGGAAUAUGCCGAAUGGCGGGGGACAACAGUUGGAAACGACUGCUAAUACCGCAUAAUGUCUACGGACCAAAGGGGGGGCUUCUUAGGAACCUCUCGCCAUUUGAUUAGCCCAAGUGGGAUUAGCUUGUUGGUGAGGUAAGAGCUCACCAAGGCGACGAUCCCUAGCUGGUCUGAGAGGGGGAUC
RNAcentral lists this ribosomal RNA (254 nucleotides) under uncultured bacterium. RNAcentral describes it as "partial 16S ribosomal RNA". It matches the Rfam family "Bacterial small subunit ribosomal RNA", at positions 57 to 305 of the family's 1533-position model. The record is from RNAcentral.